UAUAAUAAUUCGCAUAAGACGACCUCAAAGAAAGGACGGAAGACGAAAUGCUUUUAAGAAAAAGAAGAAAGGACGAAACCCCCAAUACCUGAACUUCCCCUUCUCUGUUUGGGAAAAAAGCUCACCCCCUUCUAUCCUAAAAACUCACAGAAAAACCAAGUUCUACUUCUCUUCUUCAAAUGCAAAACAAAAUUCGAUAAUAAGGGAACAUAUUUACACUCACGAUUUACAAUUUCAUGAACCCUAGUUACAAACCAAAAUCGGACACCAAACAAAAACGCGAAUCACUUUUGGAACAACCAGUUGCACACAUGUUUGAUGGCGUCAAGGCAAGUCUAAACACGAAGUAAUGAAGGAGCGAGGGAAUUACCAGAUCGAGAUGUUUCAGAGGCAAGUCAGUAGGAUAAGUGCUUCUUGAAUCCUUUUGCUUCUUCGAAUCCUUUUAUGUUCUUUGCAAUCACUGCUCCUUUAGUUAUCAUGACGUUCACGGUGUUUGCGAGGAAACGGUCUUGACGGAGCUCAAAGCGCAUUCAGAAAUUCACGAUGAAUCCCAGUGGCUUCGUAACAAAAACUUGGAAAUAUGUCACGCCGAGUCUAAUUUUACUUGGGGUUUGAAAACACCAUGGUUGGUUCAUGAAUUAAACCGACGCCGGCGUGAGAUUGUGACAGCAUCAGGUUGCAGACCGGAGUCCACCAUUUUAUGCAGACAUCCCAUGCUUCUUCCAAAUUACGCUGGAUACGACAACGAGGUUCAUCAGAGACACUAUCUAAAGCACCCUUUUUUUGAUAUGCUUCAUGAAUUCAUCUACUGUCUUCUCUUGUAGCUGAUCUUGCAGACAUUAUGGGAGCAACAUCAAAUGCAGUUCUUAGUCCUUUAUUUUAUUUGUUGACUCCUGUAGAUCCAAAGCAUGAUGCACCACUGGAUAAGAUGCCCUUGGCAGGUUCGUCUUGUAUCGGAGAUUUGCCAAAAAUUCAAUGUUGUUGCCGACAGUAUUUUCACCACAUGUGGUUAUGUCUGCAUCACAAUAUUCGUUAAGAGUAAAACUGAACACCAUUUCCAAUGACAAAUAUGUUUUUUGUAUUCCAUUUGUAAGAACCUUCUAAGUCAUUAAUUUGCUGGUGUAAUUGCCUCUAUAUAACAAUAACACCUACUGCUUUUCCCAAGCCUGCAACUCCAUCAUGUUGUACCACGUCAACCCAAGUUUGAUAGCAUCGCUAACCCUCCAACAUCAACCAAACCGCAAUGUCUUCAAGUAUUCAAAACAAGAUGCAAAAGUGAUUUGUCUAGUUCGUUUGGUGGUGAACUCUUUAGAACUUGUUGCAUUUGAUGCUGUGUAUGAUCUUGGGUUAUGACAUAGUUUGGUGAGCUUCCAUAUGCAUGAUGGUUCACAUCACCACCUGAGCACGAUAAUGUAUCACUGCAAUGUUGCCCAUUCUGCUCGUAUCAGGUGGUGUUAUAGCAAAACGCACCAUCCUGAAUUUUGGGUUGCGGCAACUGGAAGAUGUCAUAGACACGUUGGUGCCAAGACUAAGGUCGGGCGUGUUGUUACACUGUGGUCAAGUUGCUGCAGAAUUGGUGCUGGAAGUAGUGGUCUUCCAUGUUCAUGACUGAGCCUACUACAAGAUGUUAGUUCCUUGAAAAAUGGAACUAUUCCCCAUUAAAUAAUUGAUGGCUUCUCAAAACCGUAACAUCAACACCAAUCAUACACCUCCUCACAAAAUAUGCAGAAGUCAUGUUCUUCUAUAGUGAAUAACUCAUUCAACUUGGUAUCAAAUUGCUCGGUAUCCAAUUGUGAGCUUUUCGGAGCCAAACUCGUCAUACUGUUCGCAGAGGAAGCAAUGAGAGAGCGAAGUAGGGGUUAAGAUUGUUGGGAUUUUGGGUGGGUUGGAUUUGAUCCAAAUGCCUAUUUGCAAAUUAUGUGUGUUCUGUUAAAUUUUA
Molecule: long non-coding RNA, 1939 nt
Organism: Lathyrus oleraceus (garden pea)
Lineage: Eukaryota; Viridiplantae; Streptophyta; Magnoliopsida; Fabales; Fabaceae
Exons: 4
Source: RefSeq, a predicted model, not a curated record